Molecule: unclassified non-coding RNA, 239 nt
Filed under: Hevea brasiliensis (rubber tree)
Lineage: Eukaryota; Viridiplantae; Streptophyta; Magnoliopsida; Malpighiales; Euphorbiaceae
Source: RNAcentral
AAACAAGUGAGCAGCGACCUUUCAUUGUGACUGAUACAGCGAUCUUUUCCCUUGUAAUAAUUAAUCCCCUUCUGAUUCUAGAUGAUAUCACCCAUAAGGCCCAAUAUUAAAUCCUGAACUCCUGAAGGACUAAAGAUAACUUACUUUUCCUGAGCCCAAAUUAACGUUAGUGUCCUCAUCCUGUAAGAAAUGUGAUUUAUGAAACGAAGAACAUGAACAGCCAGAUAAGCUCAUCUAAU